RNAcentral lists this ribosomal RNA (486 nucleotides) under Triticum aestivum (bread wheat). Its description in RNAcentral is "partial small subunit ribosomal RNA". The record is from RNAcentral. Lineage: Eukaryota; Viridiplantae; Streptophyta; Magnoliopsida; Poales; Poaceae.
CAGGAUAAACCAAUUGUGGGGAAUACUCGUUCCUGCCAAUGUGAAUGUCCUGCCUUAGUGAGACUGCUACGGUCAAAGGAUAAUGGGUGGUAUAUAACAGAGCACUGGGACGAGCACAACCACUCAUUGUCUCCGACAUAUGGGCAGACAUUAUACUGGCCAUCUCACAAACAUAUCAACGUAUACAGCGAGAUUUUGGUGAAGCAGCUGAGGGGAAAUAAUGUGAACCUGUCGAAAGUAUACAACAUCAUAGGGAGCUUUUUUGGGAAGAUGGAGAAUGUACCGUUCACGAAACGAGCUUUGCGGAACUUGUGUGGGAAAAUUGGCCGUGACAAGGCAGAGGAUGAUGUUCGGAAGACAAUGGAGGUAUUUCAAGAGCUAGGUGCUAAGGAUCAGCAAUUCUCACAUUCUCACAUUUAUCGUGUUAUCAGACAAUUAUUGGUACAGAGCAUUCAUACUUCCCAUGUGUUUCGUAUGUACAAAUAG